RNAcentral lists this non-coding RNA (167 nucleotides) under Candidatus Cryptoclostridium obscurum. Lineage: Bacteria; Bacillati; Bacillota; Clostridia. The record is from RNAcentral.
GUACAGGUUUCGCCAUGAGCGAAUGAAAAGGAAACCGGGUGUGAAUCCCGGGCGGACCCGCCACUGUGUAGGGGAGCAGCAGCCGAGAAUUUUGUUCACCCACUCGUUUUUUUACGGGGAAGGGGGUUGUUGCAAAGAACCAAGCCAGGAUAUCUGCCUGUAUUUGU